This is a ribosomal RNA of Danio rerio (zebrafish), 117 nucleotides long. The record is from Ensembl. Lineage: Eukaryota; Metazoa; Chordata; Actinopteri; Cypriniformes; Danionidae.
AGCCACAGCCAAAUCAUCCUGCAGCCCAAGACUGGUUACUCACUGAAGCUAAGCAGGGCUGAGCCUGGUCAGUACCAUGAUAGGAAACCACAUGGGAAAAUUAGGUUGCUGUUGGAA